This 116-nucleotide ribosomal RNA is filed under the name Vulpes vulpes (red fox). Lineage: Eukaryota; Metazoa; Chordata; Mammalia; Carnivora; Canidae. The record is from RNAcentral.
GUCUAUGGCCAUAACAUCCUGAACGUACCUAAUCUCUUCUGAUCUCAGAAGCUAAGCAGAAUACUUGUAGGAGAAAAAAGGAAACAGAGCUGAUAAAAUAACAUAAAUGCUGGGCA